CCAUGUCGGCCGCUGCGCUAAGAAGCCAGCUCAACGAGCACAUCAGCUACAUGUACGCCACGGGAAUUCUGGACGAGUACUACCAACAGCUGCAGUCGCCACAGGACGAGGGGUUCGUCCCCGAGGUCAUCAACAUCUUCCUCGGCGACGCCGACAGGAUGCUCAACGAUAUCACCAGCCUUCUGAACCUGCCCGUCGUCGACUUCGAAAUGGUGGGCGAACUGGUGCACCAGCUCAAGGCGUGCAGCUGCAGGUGAUUUAUUUCCCCACUGCAUCGAUUCUGAUGUGUUUGUCAUGGGCAUUACCCUUUGGUAGGUGUUGUUUGCGGCUUCGCACUACUGCGUAGCCAUAAGUAUAAGUGUCCAACGGCAAUGUUUAUGGCUCGACGAGAAAUUAAAACUUUGUCGUCUUGCGAGCCUUCCUGGUAUUAGCUAGUGAU
Molecule: long non-coding RNA, 439 nt
Organism: Triticum dicoccoides
Lineage: Eukaryota; Viridiplantae; Streptophyta; Magnoliopsida; Poales; Poaceae
Exons: 3
Source: RefSeq, a predicted model, not a curated record